AUUGAACGCUGGCGGCAUGCCUUACACAUGCAAGUCGAACGGCAGCACGGGAGCAAUCCUGGUGGCGAGUGGCGAACGGGUGAGUAAUAUAUCGGAACGUGCCCAGUCGUGGGGGAUAACGUAGCGAAAGCUACGCUAAUACCGCAUACGAUCUAUGGAUGAAAGCGGGGGAUCGCAAGACCUCGCGCGAUUGGAGCGGCCGAUAUCAGAUUAGGUAGUUGGUGGGGUAAAAGCCUACCAAGCCUUCGAUCUGUAGCUGGUCUGAGAGGACGACCAGCCACACUGGAACUGAGACACGGUCCAGACUCCUACGGGAGGCAGCAGUGGGGAAUUUGGACAAUGGGCGCAAGCCUGAUCCAGCAAUGCCGCGUGCAGGAUGAAGGCCUUCGGUUGUAAACUGUCUUUGUACGGAACGAAACGGCUCUUUCUAAUAAAGGAGACUAAUGACGGUACUAGUAAGAAUAAGCACCGGACUAACUACGUGCCAGACCG
RNAcentral lists this ribosomal RNA (492 nucleotides) under uncultured bacterium. RNAcentral describes it as "bacterial SSU rRNA". It matches the Rfam family "Bacterial small subunit ribosomal RNA", at positions 30 to 519 of the family's 1533-position model. The record is from RNAcentral.